GCAUGCAGUCGAACGAGAACCUUCUUGCUCGUAAGAGCAGGAUGGGGACAGUGGCGAACGGGUGCGUAACACGUGAGAAACCUGCCCUGAAGACCGGGAUAACCCGGGGAAACCCGGACUAAUACCGGAUACCCUCUCGAGUCCGCAUGGACACGGGAGGAAAGGUCAGCCGCUUCAGGAUGGUCUCGCGGCCUAUCAGCUUGUUGGUGGGGUAACGGCCUACCAAGGCAAAGACGGGUAGCUGGUCUGAGAGGACGAUCAGCCACACUGGGACUGAGACACGGCCCAGACUCCUACGGGAGGCAGCAGCAGGGAAUAUUGCACAAUGGGCGAAAGCCUGAUGCAGCGACGCCGCGUGCGGGAUGAAGGCCUUCGGGUUGUAAACCGCUUUCAGCAGGGACGAAAAUGACGGUACCUGCAGAAGAAGCCCCGGCCAACUACGUGCCUGCAGCCGCGGUAACACGUGGGGGGCGAGCGUUGUCCGGAUUUAUUGGGCGUAAAGGGCUCGUAGGCGGCUUGACAAGUCGAUCGUGAAAACCCGGGGCUCAACCCCGGGACGCCGGUCGAAACUGUCAUGGCUAGGGUCCGGUAGAGGUGAGUGGAAUUCUCGGUGUAGCGG
Molecule: ribosomal RNA, 619 nt
Filed under: uncultured bacterium
Lineage: Bacteria
Description: bacterial SSU rRNA
Rfam family: Bacterial small subunit ribosomal RNA
Source: RNAcentral